RNAcentral lists this ribosomal RNA (482 nucleotides) under uncultured bacterium. Its description in RNAcentral is "partial 16S ribosomal RNA". It matches the Rfam family "Bacterial small subunit ribosomal RNA", at positions 30 to 507 of the family's 1533-position model. The record is from RNAcentral.
AUUGAACGCUGGCGGCAUGCCUUACACAUGCAAGUCGAACGGUAACGGGCCUUCGGGUGCCGACGAGUGGCGAACGGGUGAGUAAUACAUCGGAACGUGCCCGAUCGUGGGGGAUAACGAGGCGAAAGCUUUGCUAAUACCGCAUACGAUCUAUGGAUGAAAGCAGGGGACCGCAAGGCCUUGCGCGGACGGAGCGGCCGAUGGCAGAUUAGGUAGUUGGUGGGAUAAAGGCUUACCAAGCCGACGAUCUGUAGCUGGUCUGAGAGGAUGAUCAGCCACACUGGGACUGAGACACGGCCCAGACUCCUACGGGAGGCAGCAGUGGGGAAUUUUGGACAAUGGGCGCAAGCCUGAUCCAGCCAUGCCGCGUGCAGGAUGAAGGCCUUCGGGUUGUAAACUGCUUUUGUACGGAACGAAAAGCCUUCGUUUAAUACAGGAGGGUCAUGACGGUACCGUAAGAAUAAGCACCGGCUAACUACGUG